GUAGGUGAACCUGCGGAAGGAUCAUUAACACGUAUCCAACGUUAAAACCCCUGUGAACCUUACACCACGGCUGCUUCUCCGCAUGGGGCUGGUAUCUCACACAGACUGCGAUUGAUUCAGUUCCCCCCGUUAAGCGGUUCGUUUCCCUGUUAUCUCUAGGCUUUCCAAUCUUUUGUGUCGCAUUUGCCUUCGACCGCCACGUCGGUAACUCAUCACCGACAGCGCAUUGAUUCGGCGUGGUAGGGAAGGU
RNAcentral lists this unclassified non-coding RNA (250 nucleotides) under plant metagenome. RNAcentral describes it as "partial contains small subunit ribosomal RNA, internal transcribed spacer 1, and 5.8S ribosomal RNA". The record is from RNAcentral.